UGAGGAAUUUUCCGCAAUGGACGCAAGUCUGACGGAGCAACGCCGCGUGCAGGAGGACGCUUUUCGGAGUGUAAACUGCUUUUCCCAGGGAAGAGAGCGGACGGUACCUGGGGAAGAAGCCCCGGCUAACUACGUGCCAGCAGCCGCGGUAAUACGUAGGGGGCGAGCGUUGUCCGGAGUUACUGGGCGUAAAGGGCAUGCAGGCGGUCGUACGCGUUUUGUGUGACAGCGGGUGGCUUAACUACCCGAGUAUGCGAAAGACGGUAUGACUUGAGGGCUCGAGAGGGACACGGAAUUCCGGGUGGAGUGGUGAAAUGCGUAGAGAUCCGGAGGAACACCGAAGGCGAAGGCAGUGUCCUGGCGAGUGACUGACGCUGAGGUGCGAAAGCUAGGGGAGCGAACG
This 403-nucleotide ribosomal RNA is filed under the name uncultured microorganism. Its description in RNAcentral is "bacterial SSU rRNA". It matches the Rfam family "Bacterial small subunit ribosomal RNA", at positions 355 to 774 of the family's 1533-position model. The record is from RNAcentral.